Molecule: ribosomal RNA, 253 nt
Filed under: uncultured prokaryote
Description: partial 16S ribosomal RNA
Rfam family: Bacterial small subunit ribosomal RNA
Source: RNAcentral
UACGGAGGGUGCAAACGUUGCUCGGAAUCAUUGGGCGUAAAGCGCACGUAGGCGGUUCGCUAUGUCGGAUGUGAAAGCCCUUGGCUUAACCGAGGAAGUGCAUCCGAAACUGGGGGACUUGAGUGCAGAAGAGGAAAGCGGAAUUCCACGUGUAGCGGUGAAAUGCGUAGAGAUGUGGAGGAACACCAGUGGCGAAGGCGGCUUUCUGGUCUGUAACUGACGCUGAGGCGCGAAAGCGUGGGGAGCAAACAGG